This 292-nucleotide ribosomal RNA is filed under the name uncultured bacterium. RNAcentral's name for it is "partial 16S ribosomal RNA". It matches the Rfam family "Bacterial small subunit ribosomal RNA", at positions 505 to 796 of the family's 1533-position model. The record is from RNAcentral.
GUGCCAGCCGCCGCGGUAAUACGUAGGUCCCAAGCGUUAUCCGGAUUUACUGGGUGUAAAGAGUCUGUAGCUGGCUAUAUAAGUCUAUUUUUAAAGACCUUGGCUCAACUAAGGGAAGGGAAUGGAUACUAUAUAUCUGGAGGUUUUUAGGGGUUAGUAGAAUUCCCGGUGGAGGGGUGAAAUCCGUUGAUAUUGGGAGGAAUGCCGAAAGCGAAAGCAGCUAACUAUAAUUAUCCUGACAGUGAGAGACGAAAGCAUGGGUAGCAAACGGGAUUAGAAACCCGAGUAGUCC